Molecule: ribosomal RNA, 521 nt
Filed under: Acidovorax delafieldii
Lineage: Bacteria; Pseudomonadati; Pseudomonadota; Betaproteobacteria; Burkholderiales; Comamonadaceae
Description: bacterial SSU rRNA
Rfam family: Bacterial small subunit ribosomal RNA
Source: RNAcentral
CAAACGGUUGAUGAUGUAGUAUAAUUCGAUGCAACGCGCAAAACAUUACCCACCUUCGACAUGUACGGAAUCCUUUAGAGAUAGAGGAGUGCUCGAAAGAGAGCCGUAACACAGGUGCUGCAAGGAUGUCGUCAGCUCGUGUCGUGAGAUGUUGGGUUAAGUCCCGCAACGAGCGCAACCCUUGUCAUUAGUUGGUACAUUCAGUUGGGCACUCUAAUGAGACUGCCGGUGACAAACCGGAGGAAGGUGGGGAUGACGUCAAGUCCUCAUGGCCCUUAUAGGUGGGGCUACACACGUCAUACAAUGGCUGGUACAGAGGGUUGCCAACCCGCGAGGGGGAGCCAAUCCCAUAAAGCCAGUCGUAGUCCGGAUCGCAGUCUGCAACUCGACUGCGUGAAGUCGGAAUCGCUAGUAAUCGCGGAUCAGAAUGUCGCGGUGAAUACGUUCCCGGGUCUUGUACACACCGCCCGUCACACCAUGGGAGCGGGUUCUGCCAGAAGUAGUUAGCCUAACCGCCAAGU